UGAGGAAUAUUGGUCAAUGGGCGGGAGCCUGAACCAGCCAAGUCGCGUGAGGGAAGACGGUCCUACGGAUUGUAAACCUCUUUUGCCGGGGAGCAAUGACGGCCACGCGUGGCCGGGCGAGAGUACCCGGAGAAAAAGCAUCGGCUAACUCCGUGCCAGCAGCCGCGGUAAUACGGAGGAUGCGAGCGUUAUCCGGAUUUAUUGGGUUUAAAGGGUGCGCAGGCGGAAGCGGCAAGUCAGCGGUAAAAUCGCGGGGCUCAACCCCGUUCAGCCGUUGAAACUGCCCUUCUUGAGUGGGCGAGAAGUAUGCGGAAUGCGUGGUGUAGCGGUGAAAUGCAUAGAUAUCACGCAGAACCCCGAUUGCGAAGGCAGCAUACCGGCGCCCUACUGACGCUCAUGCACGAAAGCGUGGGUAUCGAACAGG
This 424-nucleotide ribosomal RNA is filed under the name uncultured bacterium. Its description in RNAcentral is "bacterial SSU rRNA". It matches the Rfam family "Bacterial small subunit ribosomal RNA", at positions 355 to 776 of the family's 1533-position model. The record is from RNAcentral.